CUAGCCGUAAACGAUGGAUACUAGGCGUUGAGAGGAUCGACCCUCGCAGUGCCGUAGCUAACGCGUUAAGUAUCCCGCCUGGGGAGUACGCGCGCAAGCGUGAAACUCAAAGGAAUUGACGGGGGCCCGCACAAGCGGUGGAGUAUGUGGUUUAAUUCGAUGCAACGCGAAGAACCUUACCAGGGCUUGACAUGUCCGGAACCCUGCCCAAAGGUGGGGGUGCCUACGGGAGCCGGGACACAGGUGGUGC
This 250-nucleotide ribosomal RNA is filed under the name uncultured Chroococcidiopsis sp. RNAcentral's name for it is "partial 16S ribosomal RNA". It matches the Rfam family "Bacterial small subunit ribosomal RNA", at positions 796 to 1044 of the family's 1533-position model. Lineage: Bacteria; Bacillati; Cyanobacteriota; Cyanophyceae; Chroococcidiopsidales; Chroococcidiopsidaceae. The record is from RNAcentral.